CAGUCUGUGAUUUCCAGAUCUUAAGGUGG
This 29-nucleotide non-coding RNA is filed under the name Rattus norvegicus (Norway rat). Lineage: Eukaryota; Metazoa; Chordata; Mammalia; Rodentia; Muridae. The record is from RNAcentral.